GGAAGGAUCAUUCACAAAUUUUAUACCAAAAAUGCCAGCGUAACAGUAACCGCAGUGUGAAAUUGGACUCUGCGGAUGGAGUGUGGAAUUUUGGCUUCUACUCUUUUCCCUUCAAUUUGAAUGGAGGUUGGGCUUGUCGGGCUUCUUCUUUUCCUUCCAAGUCCCUAUGGUUGUAUAAGAGCUUUUUUGGAUUACUAAUUUACAAUCAUUUGGGAUGCGAAAGGAGAGAGCUGCUUGGUAGGUUUCUUCUUUGUCCGGACGCUUUGUUGGUUAAAGUAGUGGGAGAUGCAAAAGGAAGCAAUUCUCCGGAAACAGAGAAAGAGGACACCGCAAGCAUCUGAGUGAAAAUUUCAGAUGUCAUGCGCUUGGUUAUUGGCUUGUACUUCUUGGAGAGUCCUUUGUUGGUUUGUAUAAGAGCUUUUUUGGAUUACUAAUUUACAAACCAAUGCAGAGGUCUCUGAGAAGGAAGGCUGAUGAUUGAGUGUCAAACAUCUUUGACGUCCCUUCUGGUUGUUUGAGUAGUCAUAUAAGAGCUUUUUUGGAUUACUAAUUUAUGACGAAAGAACCGAUUUUUGGAGAUAACCAGAAGUAAGGCGGCUAAGAUUGUCAAAAACAUGUAUGGAGCUUCCAGCUACCUCUUACAGUUCGUUCUGCUAUCCAUAUAAGAGCUUUUUUGGAUUACUAAUUUAUGGAGAACAGAACCGUUGUUUGGAGACAACUGUAGGAAUGGGGUUGGAGGUAAAAUAGAUGCCAUGCGUUCUUGUAAAAGAGAACGUUUGCAGCUGCGACCUAAAUCGAUUAUCUAUAAGGAUUUUGUUUGAUAUACCCUAUAAGACACAAAUAUUGGCAAUGGAUCCCUCGGUUCUCGUUUCGAUGAAGAACGCAGCGAAACGCGAUAAUUAUUGCGAAUUGCAGAAUUCAGUGAAUCAUCGAACUUUUGAACGCAAACGGCGCUGAUUGGUUACUCCUUUCAGCACACAUUUUUCAGUGUCAUUUCAUCUCGAACUCAAACACCUUUCUUACGAAGGGUGGGAGAGAUCAAAAAUGAAAGUCUUGACGCAUGUGCAUGAUCAUUCAGAGACGUCAUUGACGUUUUUUGGGAAAUCGCUCCUCUAACGAAUGCUCGAAAGAGUUUUUGAAAGUUGAGCUGGAAUUGUCACUUUUUGGAGACUCUCUGACAUGUACGAGCACAAGUCUUUUUAAAUAUGUGGAACUUCCUCUGGGAAUGUUGUGGAUGUUAAGCAAAAAACGUUUUUUGGAAUUAUUUUUUUGUAAGACAUACUGAUGUUUCUUGGAGGGCCAAAAGAGCCACAACUGCCUGGAUCUCUCGGGAUCUGGGCAACUUUUCUAAAUCGACCUGAAUGAUGUGAGACUACCCGCUGAACUUAAGCAUAUCAGUAAGCGGAGGAAAAGAAAUUAACAAAGAUUCCCCUAGUAACGGCGAGUGAACAGGGAAGAGCUCAUCCCGAGAAUCCCUCAUGGUUUACCAUGUUGGGAGUUGUGGGGUUCGAAAGUAUGAUCAGCGUGUGGCCCCGGAUUAAAUAUGUUGGAAAACAUUGGCAUCGAGGGUGAUACCCCCGUGUUAGUCUGGGAGUCCGCCGCGUACGAUCUACUUUUCAAGAGUCGGCUUGCUUGGUAAUGCAGGCUUAAGCAGGUGGUAAAUUCCAUCUAAAGCUAAAUACAAACGAGAAACCGAUAGUUCACAAGUACCGUGAGGGAAAGGUGAAAAGGACUUUGAAAAGAGAGUCAAAAGUACGUGAAAUUGCCAAUAUGCAAGGGAUUAGAACCAGUUUUUGGCGACCUACUUUUGCGUUCUAGGCUGGAUCACUCACGUUCCUAUGAUCCUGUAUGGGAUUAGGUUCAGGUUUGUGAAGGUUUUGUUCACAUUUGUAAGGGAGCUAGUAGUCAAAAUAGAUUUGGCAGGUGAAAACUUGGCUUCUGUAGGUAGGGUUGCUUGCAGCCCGAUGAUGGGAGUUUAAGGUCACAGGCCGGAUCGAGGGAAACCGAUUUUGACGAAAUGGUUCUUAUCCUCCCGUCUUGAAACACGGACCGAGGAGUGUAACAUAUAGGCAAGUCGUAGGGUGUAAAACCCGAAGGCGUAAUGAAAGUGAAGUGAAGUCUUCGACUUUAUCAGGUGUGCCACCGCAAGGUCUCAACACCGCCCGGCCUUUCAUAGAGAGAGGUUCGAGGUCGAGCCUAUAUGUUACGACCCGAAAGAUGGUGAACUAUACCUGAGCAGGGUGAAGCCAGGGGAAACUCUGGUGGAAGCUCGCAGCGAUACUGACGUGCAAAUCGUUCGUCAGACUUGGGUAUAGGGGCGAAAGACUAAUCGAACCAUCUAGUAGCUGGUUCCCUC
This 2356-nucleotide unclassified non-coding RNA is filed under the name uncultured fungus. RNAcentral describes it as "sequence contains 18S rRNA gene, ITS1, 5.8S rRNA gene, ITS2, 28S rRNA gene". The stretch from base 1353 to 2356 matches the Rfam family "Eukaryotic large subunit ribosomal RNA", at positions 1 to 961 of the family's 3401-position model. The record is from RNAcentral. Lineage: Eukaryota; Fungi.